Molecule: long non-coding RNA, 2573 nt
Organism: Spinacia oleracea (spinach)
Lineage: Eukaryota; Viridiplantae; Streptophyta; Magnoliopsida; Caryophyllales; Amaranthaceae
Exons: 2
Source: RefSeq, a predicted model, not a curated record
AAUUUUGGGGUCUUUUCCCAGCCCCUUUGUUUUCCAUGUAACAAAAGGCCACCUGCCUUAUCGUCAAUAAGUGGAGCUCUUGGCACACUUGUAUAACCACAUAAGAAAAGAUGCUCAUCCAUUCUACUUAAUUCCUAAUACAUGCACUUUUUCCGAAAGUCUUCUAGAUUAUAUUUUUUCAUGCUGAACCAGGAUCGCCUAACAAAUUUCAUCCUUUACUAUCCUCCUACCGCCUUUUGGUGGGUAAGAACGAUCUGUUAUCACCAGAUUCGUUUGUGAUGUAGAGUGGCUGUUGUGAAGUUCUUCCCUUUAUCUGCUGACCGAACCGUAUAAAUUCAUCUACCAGCUUGUUGUUCUGUUUACCUCAAGCCACCUCAAAAUCACUCAGUCCCCUUACUUAUUUAACAGCAGUAAUUACUCAAAGCGUCACACACACAUGCACACAAACACAGUCACACCACACUCACAGAAAAGACAACAUUUCGGAAAUUUUAGCACCCUUCAUUAGGAAACAAAUAUACUAUGCUAUUUUCAAAAGGAUAUGUCAUCUUCUUUAAUCUGCUUCCUCAAAAAUAUCAUCAGCUUCCUCCAUAUCAUCUCCAUCAAGUGACAACUGGCAAGUAGCCUUCAUCAUCAUCUUCAUCUUCUUCUUCGCUUUCUUGUUCUAAUGGCUGCCUUUGUGUGGUACUGGUACCCCUACUUGAACUGCCAAUAUUUUCUCCAAGCCUACUCCCUCUUGAUCUCAGGUUGAAUCUCUCUUCAUAAACACAGAUGCACUAGCAACGUGUCCCCAUGUAAGACCAUCAUCCUCUUCAAACACAUGAUCAUCUUCAGCAUCUACUUCUAUCCUCCCAGUUAACCACUCGUUGCUAUCAUCAAUAUCUUUCAAAGCUAUGGGAUCAAUCUUAUCACACAACUUGUAUCUUAGGAUCAAUGCUCGGUUGUACUUAACGAACACCAAGUCAUUUAAUCUGGAUUGUGUGAGCCGAUUCCUCUUUUUGGAAUGAAUCUGUCAAAACAGAAUUAGUAACUUACUCCACUAAAACAAGCUAGAUAACCACUAAUCUAAACUGUAAACCUAAACUCCUAUUAUCUUGGAACGUGAGCUACAUGUUAAGCAACCACUAAUCACUAAUCUGUUAAGCUGAUUUUGAAGCACAAAACAACACACCCUUUUGCUUCAAAUUAGUACAAUUUCAUGAAACACUUUCUCUUCAAUUAUGAUGCACUUCUGAUGCUCUUCUCACCAACAUUUACUAUUUGGACAUUGGAGCACUUCUCUCCAUGGUGCACUUCUCACCCCCAUUUCAAAAUAAUUUUUCUUCUACGGCCACUUGUGUCAUAGAUGGUUCUUUAUCAUUUUCGAACCUGCAAUUCCUUGCCAUAUGCCUAAAAUUUUGACAUUAUCAUUUUGGCUUUCCCUUAUGCCUACAAGUUUUCUUCUCAUGACCAAACUUAGAGAUUUUCCUUUCCCUUUAUGGUAUGAAGACUUGACUAAUAGGGCACCUUCAACUCUUUCACCAUCUGCGUUUCUCAUAUUUCUUCUUUGAUCCACCGUAUGGAGUGAUUAAUCAACUCUGAAACUGUUAAUUUAGAAAAAUCUUUAGUAUCUUCAAGUGAACAGAUUUUAGUUUCAUACAUCUCCGGAAGAGUGGCAAGGAGCUUGUCCACCACCUUUUGGUUGUCAAAAUCCCCACCAAGUAAUUUGAUUUGUUGACAAUUGACAUCAACCGAGCUCUAUAUUUUCUAACAUCAUAACUUUUUUCCAUGAUCAUCAUCUCAAAUUCCCUCUUCAUGCAAAAAAAGUGAUGGUGUUAGAGAAUAUGGAGCUCGGUUGAUGUCCAUCGUCAACCAAAUCAAAUUACUUGAUGGGGAAUUUGACAACCAAAUGGUGGUGGUCAAACUCCUUGUCAUUUUUCCGGAGAGUGGAUCAAAUAAGAAGUAUGAGAAGCGCAGAUGGUGAAAGAGUUGAAGGUGUCCUAUUGGUCAAAUAAAGAGAAAGGAAAAUCUAUCUAAUGCAAUCAUUGUCAGAAGGUUGGUCAUGAGGAGAAAAAUUGUUGGCAUAAGGGAAAGCCAAAAUGCUUCAAUUUUGAAAAUUUGGGCAUAUGGCAAGGAAUUGCAGGUUCGAAAAUGAUGAAGACCCAUCUAUGGCACAAGUAGCCAUAGAAGAAAAUUUAUUUUGAAAUGUGGGUGAGAAGUGCACCAUGGAGAGAAGUGUUCCAAAGUUCAAAUUGUAAAUGUUGGUGAGAAGUCCAUCAGACGUGCAUCAUAGUUGAAGAGAAGUGCUUCAUGAAAUUGUGCUAAAUUUGAAGCAAAGGCGUGUGUUGUUUUGUGCUGCAAAAUCUGCUUAACAGAUUAGUGGUUAGUGGCUGCUUACACGUAGCUCACGUUCCUAGAUAAUAGGAGUUUAGGUUUAUAUUCAGUUAUUUAGCUUGUGUUAGUGGGAUCAUGUUACCCACUACACCUAAGUCUUAGCUACGUUUUAGGAAGUCAGUUUCUUUGUUGUAGCCUAUUUAAAUAUGCAGUCUCUUGUAUUUUCAGUUUGAAUAAGAAAUGCAGUGAGUUGUUUCUAA